RNAcentral lists this long non-coding RNA (609 nucleotides) under Marmota monax (woodchuck). Lineage: Eukaryota; Metazoa; Chordata; Mammalia; Rodentia; Sciuridae. The record is from RNAcentral.
GCUGGCUGAAACAGCUAAACAUUUACUAAAGAAGGGCUUAUCCUUGUAAAUGUGUAUCUUUUGCAGCUCAAAAGCAUCUCUCAAGGACCUGAGAACUCUUCUCAAGAACAGAACCAUCAAAAGAGUAAGACCACAGUCUCUAAGACUCUACCAGAGGACAGAAUCCUAACUGAUCAUUACCAAUCAAAAAACCCAGCUGGCCAGUCUCACGGACACAAACCAACCCUCUGCAUUCCUACUUCUCCCUGAGACCCCAUGUUCCACCAUGGUUAUUUGCUUUUAGUUGACUUUAAAAAUCACUAAUUCUGGAGGACUUGCAGCUGAGCUAUGUGUUGUUAGGCUCCCCCAGAUUUGCUGUGGACCUCUGGGUGCACGGGUCACCGUGAUCAUGGUUGCCUAGGUUAGAUUUCAGAGACUUGGAGGCCAUUUUUGUUGAAAUCACCAGUUCUUCAUCUGGGGCUACAAAGGCAUCAGAUCAGUGGUCUUUUGACAUCAGAAAACUAAAAACUCCACCUUCAGGUCCUGCUAACUGCCAUUUUCUGAACACAGGUCCCAUGGAGAGACAGGACGGUUGGUUGGGCAUCACCCUCCCCCAUACCUCAGACAACC